CCAAGGAGUCUAACAUGUGCGCGAGUCAUUGGGGAUCUCUCGAGACCCACAGGCGCAAUGAAAGUGAAGGUGAAGGGGCUUGCCCCCACCGAGGCAGGAUCCGUCCAGGUAAGGUGUGUAAAAAGCCCUUACGCUGGCGGCGCACUGCCGGCCCGUCGCAACUGCCACGCCAGUGCGGCGGAGCAAGAGCGUACACGUUGGGACCCGAAAGAUGGUGAUCUAUGCCUGGGCAGGACGAAGCCAGAGGAAACUCUGGUGGAGGUCCGUAGCGAUUCUGACGUGCAAAUCGAUCGUCGGACCUGGGUAUAGGGGCGAAAGACUAAUCGAACCGUCUA
This 335-nucleotide ribosomal RNA is filed under the name Paralamyctes tridens. RNAcentral's name for it is "eukaryotic LSU rRNA". It matches the Rfam family "Eukaryotic large subunit ribosomal RNA", at positions 666 to 946 of the family's 3401-position model. Lineage: Eukaryota; Metazoa; Arthropoda; Chilopoda; Lithobiomorpha; Henicopidae. The record is from RNAcentral.